RNAcentral lists this ribosomal RNA (1788 nucleotides) under Triticum aestivum (bread wheat). RNAcentral's name for it is "partial small subunit ribosomal RNA". Lineage: Eukaryota; Viridiplantae; Streptophyta; Magnoliopsida; Poales; Poaceae. The record is from RNAcentral.
AUGGACAGCGGCGGUGUGUGGCCAUCGCUUCCGUCCGCGGCAGCGGCGGGAGGAGCCUCCGGCCCGGACGAGCCUCGCGACGCGCGCGUGGUCUACGCCGACCACGCGGCCAAGCCCCAGCUCGAUGCCGACGACGUCCGCCUCGCCAUCCAGGCCAAGGUCGACUUCUCCUUCUCCCAGCCGCCGCCAUGCGAGAAGAAAGUGCAUUUGGUUAGUUCAUUUGAUGAAGAGAUUUGGGACUUGAGGCUACAUUUCCAAGGAAUAGAUAAUAUGGAGAAAAAGUAUUCAGUUUCCUCAGAUAUCAGUUAUCUGACCAUAUUAGCAUUGGUUGAGUUGGAGGGCUAUGGCAUGGAUGCAUUUCUGACAUAUGUAAAGAAAGAGGGAAAGGGGCUGGAGGGUGUGGAGGCCCUGGAUAGUGAGGAGGCAUUAGAGGAAAUGCUUAACUUAUUUGUUGAUAAUAAGGUACUGAACAUCAGUGUCAGAAAAGCUACUGAUCCAAGCCCAGCAGAUGAGGAACAGAUCCCCAUUGAUCAUGUUGGUGAUCCUGUUGUUUACAGAGUUUCACAAGAAGGUGUUCUGUACCCUGCCUCUAAUGCUAGUUUGCCAGCUUUAACCCCUGAUGAGCCCUACAUGAACACACAGCAAAGCAGCAAUUUUAACAAAGGGAAAAAAGUUGUGGAAGAAGAAGAUGUAGAAGAAGAAGCAGAUGAAGAAGAAGAAGAUGUACCAGAGGAAGAAGAUGAAGUUGAAGAUGACAAAUCAUCUUCAGAUUUUGAGUUCUUUAGGGGUGAUUACAGAGGGGAGAAAAUUUCUUACAAAGCUUGGUGCAGGGGUGAAGAUGAGGCUGGCACUAAUACUGCAGAGCACUUUUGUGUAGCUAACUCAGAACCUUCUGAGUUUUGGGAGGAAGAACCAGUUGUUUCUGAAGAUGAAGUAGUAGAGGAUCCUGCUGUAACUACAAAAGCAGCCAAAAAGCUUAAGCCAGUUAGAAAACCUGGCCCAACUAGCAAGUCUCACAGUGAGCCUGAGCACAUCAAGUUUGAAGAUUAUGUCCCUGAAGCUGAUGAGUACUGUUUUCCAGGUGAUUUUGGCAUAAGUGAUGAAGAUGAUGCACCAAGGCUGCCAUCUGGAAGGAAGAGUAGGAAGAAGCAGAAGAAGGAGAGGAUAUGAAAACAUGGUUGUGAGUUUUACAUAGUUGCCUCCAAGAUAGCUCAUGAGGCAACUUUCAGUAUCAAGAAGAUGAACCUGGAUCACACUUGUGGAGCAAGUGGAGAGAACACAAAGGUGACAGUCAAUUGGGUUGCAAAGGUUUGUGAGGAUACAGUCAGAUCCAACCCUGGAGCUGGUGUUGACACAAUUAUGUCAUACACAAAGAAGAAGUUUGGUGUGCAUGUGCCUAAAAGCUUGGCAUAUAGGGCAAGGAAGCAAGCAGUUGAGGUUGUGCAAGGAGAUCACAAACUCCAGUAUCACAGAAUAAGGGACUACCUGCAGUGUGUGCUAGAUACUAACCCUGGCAGUAGGUGCAUAGUAACAACACAUGAGGACCCACUUAACCCAGCUCCUACCCUAAGGUUUCACUAUAUGUUUUACUGCUUGUUUGCAUGCAAGGAGGGUUUUCUGAAUGGAUGCAGGCCAUUUAUAGGUCUGGAUGGUUGCUUCAUCAAGCUAAGCACUGGUCAGCAGAUAUUGGCAGCUACAGGGAGGGAUGGCAACAAUAACAUCUUCCCAAUAGCUUUUAGUGUUGUUGAUAAGGAAGAGACAGACAGUUGGACAUGGUUUCUCACAUAG